AGAAACACUGGUUCCCUUACGAUCACCGAAGUUAAACAACGUCGAGCCAGGUCAGUACCUAGAUGGGUAACCGUUUAGUAAUACCAGGUGCUAUA
Acanthosepion pharaonis is the source of this 95-nucleotide non-coding RNA. NCBI's taxonomy places the organism in Eukaryota, Metazoa, Mollusca, Cephalopoda, Sepiida, Sepiidae. The record is from the annotation of a GenBank genome assembly.